Pelobates cultripes (western spadefoot toad) is the source of this 320-nucleotide non-coding RNA. The record is from the annotation of a GenBank genome assembly. Lineage: Eukaryota; Metazoa; Chordata; Amphibia; Anura; Pelobatidae.
GUAGCAUAUGAAUUCUUCAUACGGACGCCCAUUUCAUGUACCACCCAUUGGACAGGUGAUAUAACUUGUGCAGUGUUUAUACGCAAAAAAAAGUAGAAUCGAAAAAACACAGGACUUGGAAAAGAUCUGUUGGCCAAAAAGGUGUCAUUUUUCUUGUCAAUUCUCCUCCAAGGUUAGUUAAACCUUGAUAAACACUUGCAUUUAGAAUUAUUUAUAUAGCGCCAACAUAUUCUGCUGUGAACAACAGGUAAAUAAGAGAAACAGUUAAAGGGACAGUAUAGUCACCUGAACAACUUUAGCUUAAUGAAGCAGUUUUGGUG